GCUGAAGCUUAUUGAUCUAACAGACGAUUAUAAUGGAAUUAUUAUCAAAAUCAACAAACGUUUGUUCUGUGAGUCAUAAUCAUUGAUUGUAAGUCUGUAACCUGGAUUUUGUAACAGUAAUCAUUACUCCCCCAAGUCUGUGAGGGUCAACAGGGGUUCAUCUGAUGAGCAAAAAAAAUUUGUAAGGGUUCCGCGGAACCCAGUGUCUCGCCUAUUUUUGCUGUAAAUCGCAGACUCAACAACAAUGAGGAAAAAAAUCAAUAAAAUAUUCCUCUUGUUACUAUUUUAUGAUUGUAAGAAAAUCUAAGUCCAUUUAAAAGUAAAUUACAGAAAAAACGGAGUAAUCUUUUUACAAACUUUACUUCUG
This 367-nucleotide long non-coding RNA is filed under the name Mytilus galloprovincialis (Mediterranean mussel). Lineage: Eukaryota; Metazoa; Mollusca; Bivalvia; Mytilida; Mytilidae. The record is from RNAcentral.